Molecule: ribosomal RNA, 402 nt
Filed under: uncultured bacterium
Lineage: Bacteria
Description: bacterial SSU rRNA
Rfam family: Bacterial small subunit ribosomal RNA
Source: RNAcentral
UGGGGAAUAUUGGACAAUGGGCGAAAGCCUGAUCCAGCAAUGCCGCGUGAGUGAUGAAGGCCUGAGGGUUGUAAAGCUCUUUUACCAGGGAUGAUAAUGACAGUACCUGGAGAAUAAGCUCCGGCUAACUCCGUGCCAGCAGCCGCGGUAAUACGAAGGGGGCGAGCGUUGUUCGGAAUUACUGGGCGUAAAGCGCACGUAGGCGGAGUUGUAAGUCGGGGGUGAAAUCCCGAGGCUCAACCUCGGAACUGCCUUUGAUUCUCGCGAUCUUGCGUUCGUAAGAGGUUGGUGGAACAGCUAGUGUAGAUGUGACAUUCGUAGAUAUUCGGAAGAACACCAGUGGCGAAGGCGACAUACUGGCUCAUUACUGACGCUGAGGCUCGAAAGCGUGGGGAGCAAACA